RNAcentral lists this ribosomal RNA (465 nucleotides) under uncultured bacterium. RNAcentral's name for it is "partial 16S ribosomal RNA". It matches the Rfam family "Bacterial small subunit ribosomal RNA", at positions 30 to 507 of the family's 1533-position model. The record is from RNAcentral.
CGAACGCUGGCGGCGUGCUUAACACAUGCAAGUCGAACGGAAAGGCCUCUUUCGGGGGGUACUCGAGUGGCGCACGGGUGAGUAACACGUGAGUAACCUGCCCUUGACUUUGGGAUAACUUCAGGAAACUGGGGCUAAUACCGGAUAGGAGCUCCUGCUGCAUGGUGGGGGUUGGAAAGUUUCGGCGGUUGGGGAUGGACUCGCGGCUUAUCAGCUUGUUGGUGGGGUAGUGGCUUACCAAGGCUUUGACGGGUAGCCGGCCUGAGAGGGUGACCGGCCACAUUGGGACUGAGAUACGGCCCAGACUCCUACGGGAGGCAGCAGUGGGGAAUAUUGCACAAUGGGUGGAAGCCUGAUGCAGCAACGCCGUGUGCGGGAUGACGGCCUUCGGGUUGUAAACCGCUUUCGCUCAUGACGAAGCUUUGUGUGACGGUAGUGGGUAAAGAAGCACCGGCUAACUACGUG